Molecule: long non-coding RNA, 537 nt
Organism: Bufo bufo (common toad)
Lineage: Eukaryota; Metazoa; Chordata; Amphibia; Anura; Bufonidae
Exons: 2
Source: RefSeq, a predicted model, not a curated record
CUGAUUCUCUGUUCUGGAGAGAAGUUGUUGUCGCCGGCUUCACUCUGAUGUGUAUUCUCUAGUUUGCUGCAAGGAGACAGAUAGUCGACUUUCUGAUGAUCCGAAUAAGCAUGUUGGCUUGGCCCGUCAACAAACCGCUUUGUAUGAAGCUGUGGAUCUGGGUCGUCGUCUGACUUGGAAUGUUGAUAGAUGUAUUGUAAGGUCAGAAUUUUUAUGAUUUCAGCUCUUGCUGUCCUUCCUGGAGGAGAAUACGUGCUGGCAGGAGGUUGACUUCUGAUAACACAAUAGAUGGAAUUUCACAAUGGACCAUCAGAAAGAAGAAAAAUGUCACUUCUGUGUAACGGGGGAAUGAGAAAGUCAAAGGAUUUGACCCCUGACAAUUGACUUCACAAACACAGGGAGUCAGCAGCAGCGCUGGGGCCGUGUCCUGUGAGGAUCGUGGUCUGUAAUAGCAGCAUGGAUACAAUGUAUCACUUUCCGGUAGAGAUACUGAAUGUGUAUUUAAAGGGACAGUACAGUAAAAAUAUGACAUUCUAA